GUGCUCACUUCGCAACACCAUUAUUACAGCUGGAAUGAUACAAGAAAAUUAGGAUGGCCCCUAAGCAAGGCUGAUGUGCAAUUUUGAGAAGUGUUCUGUAUUUUU
Molecule: small nuclear RNA, 105 nt
Filed under: Phascolarctos cinereus (koala)
Lineage: Eukaryota; Metazoa; Chordata; Mammalia; Diprotodontia; Phascolarctidae
Source: RNAcentral